Molecule: unclassified non-coding RNA, 836 nt
Filed under: Hevea brasiliensis (rubber tree)
Lineage: Eukaryota; Viridiplantae; Streptophyta; Magnoliopsida; Malpighiales; Euphorbiaceae
Source: RNAcentral
AAAUGAAAGCCCAGGGGAUACACAAGAUUGAGAGUUUAUAUGUGCUUGCAAUUUGAACCUUGUGGACUAAAAACUUUAUUGACAGUGCCAUUAUGGCAGUUUCUGUAUGGCCAACCAAUGAACCUUUAAAAUGUUUUAACUUGUGGGAAUUUCUAAGCACAAGUGCCUGGAUUCAACUCUUAAGAGAAAUAAUAACCGUUGGGAUUGUGUUCUGAUAGCCCUUUUAGAGACCCUUUUAAGAGGCUGGACCCUGCUUAAGUGAGAUCAAUCCUGAGCAGUGGCCUUUCCCCCUUUAGAGAUUAGCGCGCAUGAUUAGCCAGUAUGGAUCAUUUUUCCUGUCAUUUUCCUGUCAGACAAAAUUUGGUUAUUUUGAUGGGUAGGCAAGAAUAUUUAAUUAAUUUCAGCCUUGAUGACUAAGCUGUCAAGUUGGAGGCAUGUAAAAAAUGGGUCCUUGGCUUGUGAUGAAGGGUCAGUUUGGGAGUUUUGGCCUUUUUGUAUUUUGUAAUGGGCUUAGGUUGUUAGAUGAGGUAUUUAAGCUUUUAUACUGAUUUGGAAUGGUAAAUUGUUUAAAGCUUUGGGCAUGGUUAGAGAAAAAUGUAGCUUUGGCACAAGGUUGAUUAAUUGAAAAAAGGCUAUGUAGCAUAUUUUCUUCAGUGGCUAAAUAUUGAAAUUAGGGUCUGUUCUGACUUCUGAGAAGUUUGAUUAGUGGAUAAAGAGGGAAAAAAAAAUGGGAUGAAUUUAGAUGCUGAUUAGAGUGGUGAAAGAAGGAAAAUUGAGGGUUGCCAGGGUGUUGUUAGAGUGCUGUAUCAGCUGAAUCUAGAGAGAGAGAGAGAGAG